UCCGGUUUGUCACCGGCAGUCUGGCGUGAGUCCCCAACUUAAUGCUGGCAACACGCCACGGGGGUUGCGCUCGUUGCGGGACUUAACCCAACAUCUCACGACACGAGCUGACGACAGCCAUGCAGCAUCUGUGGUGCACCCUCGAAGGUCACACGUUUCCGUGCGCUUGCAGCACCAUGUCAAGCCUAGGUAAGGUGGGGAUGACGUUACUUACAGCGUAC
RNAcentral lists this unclassified non-coding RNA (221 nucleotides) under uncultured Rubrobacterales bacterium. Its description in RNAcentral is "contains 16S-23S intergenic spacer region". The record is from RNAcentral. Lineage: Bacteria; Bacillati; Actinomycetota; Rubrobacteria; Rubrobacterales.